GAUCUUGAGUUCCAGUCCCACAUGGGCUACAUAGUAAGACCUUGUCUCUAAAAGAGGAGAGGGAAGGAGGGGGGGAGGCUCUUCCUGAGUCCACAAGACAUCUCUACAACGCCUCUGAAUGGUAGAGAAACAGCUAUUAGAUCCUGGGCAAGCUGCCCGUGGUUGUGUAUGCCAGUAGUCCUGGCACUCGGAAGGUAACGGCAGGCAAAUCUCUUGAGUUCAAAGCCAACUUGGUUUACAUGGUGAGUCCAGGAUAGCCAAGGCUACAUAGUAAGAACCUACCUUGAAAAAGAAAGGAAAAGAAAAAAAGCCAGAUGGUGGUUUUCGCACACGUUUAAGCUCUAUCCUCAGGGAGCAGAGACAAGCAGAUUUCUUGAGCUCCAGGCCAACCUGGUGAACAGAGCAAAUUCCAGGGCAGUCAGAGCUACGUAGUAAGAACUUACCUUGAACAGAACAGAACACGGAUGCCAGGCAGAGUGGUUGCUUCCUUAUAUUCCCAGAGCUGGUGGGAGGGAUGAGACUGCAUUCUGGGCUGGGCUGAACGCUAGCCUGGGAAAAGAAAGAAAAAGAAAACGAGACUAAACAAUGGGAAUGCCUAUGUUUUAGGGUUCCCAUAAGAAUCCUGCUUCUGAGAACAUCAGGUUAAGUUAGAGCCAGUAUGUACAUGUUGGCCCAGGAUGGUCUCCAAUUAUAGAACUCUGGGGAGGUGAUUCCUGGAAUUGUGCUGGUGGGAGUUGGGGAAAAAAAAAAAAAAAGAUUUGCAGACUGGUAAGUUGACCCUGGUACCAAGCCCGUGUUUAAUCUCUAGAAGCCACAUUGUAGGAGCAGAGAACUGAGUCCUGAAAGCUGUCCUCUGACCUCCACGUGUGUGAUGUGGUACACUUACACACAAACAC
This 896-nucleotide long non-coding RNA is filed under the name Mus pahari (shrew mouse). RNAcentral's name for it is "lncRNA (MGP_PahariEiJ_G0004656.1)". Lineage: Eukaryota; Metazoa; Chordata; Mammalia; Rodentia; Muridae. The record is from RNAcentral.